RNAcentral lists this transfer RNA (67 nucleotides) under Brachyrhaphis hartwegi. RNAcentral's name for it is "tRNA-Tyr". It matches the Rfam family "tRNA". From Rfam's summary of the family: Transfer RNA (tRNA) molecules are approximately 80 nucleotides in length. Their secondary structure includes four short double-helical elements and three loops (D, anti-codon, and T loops). Lineage: Eukaryota; Metazoa; Chordata; Actinopteri; Cyprinodontiformes; Poeciliidae. The record is from RNAcentral.
UAAGAUGGCUGAGCUGCUUAGCGGUGGAUUGUAAGCCCACGAACGGGGGUUUAAUUCCCUCUUUUAC